Molecule: RNA transcript, 3889 nt
Organism: Mauremys reevesii (Reeves's turtle)
Lineage: Eukaryota; Metazoa; Chordata; Testudines; Geoemydidae
Gene: C13H20orf204
Gene name: chromosome 13 C20orf204 homolog
Exons: 6
Source: RefSeq, a predicted model, not a curated record
CAGGUCUCCGGCUGGGAUAACCCCCAGUCAGGCAGGAUCUGGGGGUGGGACUAGAGCCGCGAGCGCUUUAUCCCCUCCCACUCCUACUAUUAGAUCCUGGAGCCAAGUUCAAAUGCGGGGACCCAGCCGGAGCAGGGGAGCCCAGCGCAGGAGAGGGAGCGGCCGGUUGAGACGAGUCCCCUGCGCCGGGCAUCCUGGAGCGCGGAGGGGCUGCGAGGGACCAUGCAGCCGGGCGCCGCGCCUCCCUCCGCGGGCACUUGCAGCUGUGGGGAUCGGCACCGCGAGCGAUAAAUGUUUGCUCUGGAGUGAUGUCUCCCGUCUCUUGGAGAAAUGUACAGAGAAAACCAAGCUGUGCAACUGGCGUCUCUGAGAAGAUUCUGCCACACCCAAAUAGAAAUUCCACUCCCUUCGCUGGGGCAGAAGGAAGUAAACCUACACCAUCCCUUGACGCGUCUGAGGAUCAUUGAUUUUUCAAAGACAGGACAAGCACUGAGAUAAAAUUUAUUUACUUCAUCCACUCAACAGUCUCAGAUAUCAAAGCUUUGGCUUCAGGGCUAUGCCGUGGCUGGCUUCAGUACUGUGUGGAAAGCAUGAAGCCUGAAGGUUUGACUAGGGAUCCGUGCUGCACCAGUGCAAGCAGAGAGCUGCGUAGGCUUUUCCCCCCCACCCCAUUUAGCCAUCGAGAGCAUCUGUUUCGUUCCUGUGUGAGACCAUGGAGCACCUGGAUUAAAGGAACUUUUUGAAAAGCUGGAGCAAAUGCAGAACUACCCGGCGCAGAACAAUUGCACAAGAGACCAUGUCUCACUGGAUUUUAUUGCUCCUGUAUUUUAUAUUCAGCACCUUUUUAAAAUGUGACAAAAUAGGCUUCCCACACAGCAGCCAUUCUUCUGCCUAUUCAGGCCUCCUCUGUCCCUAUGCCCCAUCGUGACAGCUGCCCCCAGUUUUAUUUGGACACACAAAAACACUUCUCCAAGGACAGAGAUGUUCUUGCCGUUAAUUCUAAAUGAAGUCUUUGGAUUUGACCCUGAAAUGGCCUGGGACCAUCCUACCUAAGACUGCAUUUCUCCCAUGCUGCUGGAGCAGCAAGCUGGGGUGAAACUGAAGCUCCUUUGCUCUAAAAGGAGAAGGAAGGUGCUGGCAGCGUGUUCUCCAGAUUCUCCCCAGGACUCUCCUUUGUGCUGUGCUGCUGCUGCUGCUGCUUGUGUCGGUGCUGAGCAAGGGCAAGGCAAAGUGCAGCAUUGUGGAAAUCCUGCGGCAAUACCAAGCCGUGAUCUUUGAUGAGCUCCAGAACCUGAAAAACUUGACUCGAUCUGCUGAAACCCCAAGGAGGGGGAGAGCUGGCCCAGCCUGCCUCUCUAACAAGGAGCAGAAAAUCCUGCUGUCUAUCUCCACCAUGAGCAUGUCUCUCAGGGACAUGGUCAGAGGCCCCUGGAGGAAUCCUGAAGUGGUGGCUGUGAUGCAGGUGGUCAGCAACACAGAGUCUGUGACCAAACAGAACUGCAAGAAAAUCUACAAGAAGAGUCUGUCAACAGUUACAGAGAAACCGCAACACAGAGGCCAGGGCAACAGGAGAAAGCAGCUGAAGGUGAUAGCGCGAACAGUGGAAAACUUGAUCACCUGCUGGGAGAAGCUGUUCUCUCUCCACUCAAAGGACUGGGACACAUAGGGUCAGUAGGAAGCAGUGCAUGGUGCUCUCCCCAUGGGUGCUGAGCACCUGGGAUUGUACCACCACCUCCGUACUAGCCAGUAAGCAACACCGAUUUCAUGGAAACUCCUUGCCUUCUGAUUUCUUGGUCCCACCGUUGGGUGAAGCAGGCAUUCCAUUGCAUCCUAUUCUUCUCUGUGGGGAUUGGAGAGGGGCACGUCUUGUGUUCAUGGCCUGCUCUGCUACUGUUCCAGGUAGCAAAUACUGAGGGUCAGAUUCAGCCCUGAAAUCAACUGAGUGGCAUCAACAGAAUUUGCUCCUUCAUUCUGAAUAAAACUUUGUUGGACAUUUCCACAGCGGGGGCCUUGGCUCCAGCGAGUCUGUAUGUUAGGAAUUUGGAAGGACAGGGCAGUGAGCAGGCAGUGAAAGAAGAGGGUAAUAGAGUAGGAGGAGGCUCCCGGAUUAUGAAAAUGCUUCUUGUCUGCUAGGAAACCUCUUGCACUGUGUAACGCUGACAAACUUGUCGUCGGUGGGGUGGGAUCGAACCUGGGACUUCUGGCGCUUACUGCAUGAGCCUCUACCGCAUGAACUAAAAGCCAAUUGGCUGUUAGCUAAGACAGUAGAGCAGACUCAUUUUAUCUCUCUCUUUAAGUGGUCUCAGUGCCACUAGAUGGGACAGAGCACCACACUCAGGAGGUGUGUGGGUUACAACUACACCACCUGAGAUGGUGUCUGCUGCUUUCCUGGGGCUGUUCAUUGACAUGCAAUAUUGUCUUCAUACCCCGGAAGGUGCUGGGAAGAAAGCUGUCUAUCUCCCGAAGGGCCAGUGCACCAGGAAAGGCUGGGCAUGGUAGCCAUAGUGACAAGUAGUCUAGGCAAUCUUAGAUCCCCCUGACAUUCCAUGGGUUUGAACUAGCUCUCUCCCCCUCGUUCUUCCAACCUGCGCUCAACAGGCUGGUGCGGAGAAUGAAAUGGACUUUCUACAGCUGCUACCAUCUCCUGGAAAACCAGGAAGAAUAGACAAUUGAGAACCACUUGUAUCUCCUCUCGGGGCCGGGUUUCUCUUCCCAUCAUUCUUGCAAGAGGACAAGGGAAAGCCGAAGUGCUGUAGGAGGUGGGGUUGGGGACUCAGCAAGUGGUGCUCUUCCCUCGGGGUCAGGGCUGAACUGAUGUUGCCUCGUGGUGCUAAGGGGAAGGCUGUGCUGCCUAGAUGUAAAACCAGCCUUUAUGCUAUUGUAACUACUGUCCUCUUCCUACCAGCAAAACAAAUCCCCUGCUUCUAGAAGAGAGGCACCAGAGCUCUCCCUUUAAUCAGUUAUAGAAAACCAGUUGUUACUGGUAGGGCUCCAGCCCUGGAGGCAGAGCUGCUCCCAUUAGCUUCACCAGAGGACAUGACCAGCUGAGCGGUUCAUCAGGACAUUCAGGGACACCCUAGCCAGUGGCUGCUGAGCAAAGUCUUGUAUGUAUAUGAGGUGGCACUGGGGCUUGGCUCGGCUCCUGCUUGCGAUGCUAGAGGGCAGCGGUUCAAAUCCCUGUGUGUCCAUGGCCUGUGGAGUAAAAAGUGUUUGAUCACAGUAGUUCGUUCUUUCUGGCCUUGGAAUCUAUGAAUCUCCUUCUCUCUGCUCUUCAUGGGACAAUGCCAUUGCUGUACUCUGCAUCCUAACUGGUGGCAACCAAGCCCCUACAUAUACAGGGGGCUGUUGGUCAAGGUAUCUACAGGUCAGAAACACAACACCAAGGGCCAAAUUCUCCCCUGGAGUUAGGGAGUGCCAUGCCAUUGCAGUCAGUGGGCCCUUUUACACCAGCGGUAUGAGUUCAAGAGGAGCUGGUCUGAGAUUCACUGAGCACCUGCAGCUCUUCGAGCAGCGCCCAGCCAGCCUAGCGCAGACCAGUGAACAUCAUAGGGGGUGAGCGGAGAUCGGAAAGAAACGUCCUUUUACUUACUGGCUGCCUGACAUGUAAACAUGAGCCUCCUCGAAGGAGCAGCAUCGGAAAGGAGCGCGUUUUCCACACACCAAAACAAAACCUCGGCGAAAAUCCUUCAAAUCCAUGAGCUUCGGAAAUACAUAAAUCCCCAGUGUAGCCAAUGUUGAAAUGCCCUAAUGGUGAUAAAUAAAAAAUCCCCAGAUGGUCGGGGAGUGGAUAGUUUGUUUCGUGAAUAACAAAUUUUCUCUUACCAACACAUUGUGCCUGCUUUCAGUUCUUGGGUGUAACGCCCCAUUGUUUGCAGCUUCUCAGAAGCUU